CAUGGAUCUUCAUAGCAAAAACUCUUGGUUUGUUCUCCAUGAUGAAAGCCAAUUAGUUUCUCUACCAACAGCACCACCCUUCUGAUUAGAUUUACAGACUGUUGGAAUUUUGGGAAUCCUCUAAAAAAACCUGUAACAUUUCCAGCUUAGAAGUGGGUGACUGCUGGAAAAGACUCAUCAUUAAGACACAGUUACACACUGAGAAACAUCUGUCUAUGAUGAACCGUAAUUAUAUCACUAAUUACUCUGAUGUCAGCCGAGACCAGGGAACAUUGCAGGGAUAAAACUGCUGUCACACCAGGCACUCUGCUAGCAGUGGUGUGCUCCAUGCCAAUGGAAAUGAAGAGUGGAAAAUUACAGUAGGUCAACAUUCCACUUGAACAUGUACCAAAAAAACAAACAAACUGUGAAUGGAAUAGCAAGCCCAAAGAAGUGAAUGUUGGAAAGCAGCUACUUAAAAGUUAUAUACAGCCUUCGGUUCCAUUCCUUAAAUUCUCGAGUCAUGCCACUAUUAUCCCAUACCAGCUCCAGACACUGACAGAGUGGUUGUGUGUGAAUUUAGUGCUCUCUCAAAGGCUUUUCCCUGACAGCCUGGAAAAACAAACUCCUUUUUAUACAUAUGGCUAAGUACAGAAUGGAAGUGAUACUACAAGCUCUCUGAACAGUCCAGCAAUAGAUGAGAAGGUACAUCCUUAAUUUACAGUGCCUUUUCCUAAAUAUCUUUGAUGACUCUUCCAAGGAGUAUAAUUUUUACAAGUUUUGUUAUGGUCAUUAGGAGGUAAUCAACAUUAACUGUUAUUUCAGUCCUAAAUGGCUUAUAUUCUCCAUCAGUAUGGGCUGAAGCGUAUCCAUGGGCUUCAUUUUGUUUUAUCUACUGGUGGUAAAAUGUUGUAGGUAAAGCAGAUGAUGUGGGAUGUUUUAUGGCUUUGAUUCUGUGAGAAGUGAAUCAGUGUAGCCCAUUUUCAA
RNAcentral lists this long non-coding RNA (966 nucleotides) under Anser brachyrhynchus (Pink-footed goose). RNAcentral describes it as "lncRNA (ENSABRG00000004114.1)". Lineage: Eukaryota; Metazoa; Chordata; Aves; Anseriformes; Anatidae. The record is from RNAcentral.